AUGCCCCUCUGUGCUCGCGCGCUCUGCUUAAUGGUGCUCGCGCCCUCCAAUCCGGCGCCCGCCUGCCGCGGCUCGACAGCGUUCCGCCCCCACGGGGCCCACCACCUCCUCCUCCCCCACGUCGGCCGCCUCCUCGCCUGCCGCGCGCCGCCCCUGCCCCGCACCACCGCCCGCCUCCGCCCGCUCCGGAUGUCGGCCUCCAACCACUCCGGCGCCGGCGCCAGCUCCCCCUCCGCCCCCUCGCCGCCCCCGGCCCUCGCGGUGAGUCUGAUGCAUCCUCCUCCUCCUCACGCGUCCGUCCGUAUGAUGUCUUACCGUGCCGGCAUCGAUGGUGUCGGAGCUGAGAUGCUGGGGCCGUACAAUAGUUGCCGUGGAUGGAUGGAACACCUAGUGCGUUGA
RNAcentral lists this ribosomal RNA (399 nucleotides) under Triticum aestivum (bread wheat). RNAcentral describes it as "partial small subunit ribosomal RNA". Lineage: Eukaryota; Viridiplantae; Streptophyta; Magnoliopsida; Poales; Poaceae. The record is from RNAcentral.